CUACAGGAAAUGUCGUUACUUUGUACUUUUACUUUGUAGUUUUAUUCGAAUAAGAAGGUGGAGAGCACAAGCCAUAGUGAAAGCGAAGCCGGGCGGAAGCCGUGCGAAAGCCGUGUGAAAACCGGGUAUCUCUCCUCAUUCCUGUGAAUAAAGUGGAUUUUUUGGAGAAAGAUGUUCAGAACAUUCGCCUGAGGCAGCGGACACGAGGAGAAGCACCUAUGAGGGCGUGCAGACAAGCAGGGCGUGGACGUGCGCCGGUGAGAGGGCGUGGACAAGCAUCUUUAAGGGGGCGUGGAUGGCCACUGGUGCGGGGGCGUGAACGGGUGCUGGUAAUGGGGCGUGGACAAGCACCUUUGAGGGGGCUUGGACGGGCGCGGGUGCAAGGACAAGCACCUUUGAGGGGGCGUGGACGGGCGCGGGCGUGUGGACAAGCACCAUUGAGGGGGCGUCGAUGGGCACCGGUGCAGGGCCGGGGACGUGCGUCUCUACGGGGACAAGCUUCGGAGAUGGACGAAACCAGCGGUAAGAUGCACACCUGUACACGAUGUGUUCCGUUUCAGUGUUCCCGGGUCGGCGUCGAGGGAAGAAGCACGGGCCCGAGUGAAUGUGCCCCGGUGUGAGUACAAGGAGGAAAAGCACCAGGGCAGGAAUAAAUUAAACAUUUAAAUAAAAGCUCUGCCUGGUGAACCAUCACGCCACCUCUGUUUUCCAAACCAGAACCCAGCCUGCUGCCACAUCGCUUGUCCAGAAGUGAACGGGGCGUCUUCCUCCUCUUCUUCCUCUCAGACUGCUGGAGUCUCACAAAACGUCUCCACUGCAGGGGAGAGCAAUGUUCAUGCCCCUGUUCUGUCAGAAGGAAACUAUCACGGCCCGGUGACCAUGAACUUCACCACCACACCAAAGACCUGAACAUGCUCCUGUUCCACAUGGGGGGUUUUACUUCAGGGAUUAGUGAAGGCCAGAGGCAGUAAUGUGUGUAAAGUGUAUUUGAGAUUAAUUGAAAGGUUUUUAUGAGGUUAUAUAUUGUUGCUCCCUUGACUAGAUUUAGAUGAUUUUUUUACUCGCAUUAGAUCUUUUUCAAACUAAACCUACCUCAGCCACAGCACAGGAAGUGGAACCGUUUGAACCCUCACGCUUUGAAGGGCAGGAGAUCAAUACCGUAGCAGAUGUUCAAUACAAAGACAUCUUUUAUACUUUUUCACUUUUAUACUUUUAACUCAGGUAACAAUAAACCAGCCAAAUGUUCUUACAUGUGAUCUUCUGAAAGACCAAAAUAAAAUGUUUUCAAAAAAUC
This is a long non-coding RNA of Silurus meridionalis, 1294 nucleotides long. RefSeq lists it as uncharacterized. The transcript has 3 exons. The record is from RefSeq and is a predicted model, not a curated record. Lineage: Eukaryota; Metazoa; Chordata; Actinopteri; Siluriformes; Siluridae.